RNAcentral lists this long non-coding RNA (854 nucleotides) under Marmota monax (woodchuck). The record is from RNAcentral. Lineage: Eukaryota; Metazoa; Chordata; Mammalia; Rodentia; Sciuridae.
CCAAUUUUUAGAAUGACUGCUUUUAAUUUUUCUCCAUUUAGAAUGAUGUUGGCCUGGGGCUUAGAAUAUAUAGCUUUUACAAUGUUGAGAUAUGUUCCUACUGUCCCUAGUUUUUUUAGUGUUUUGAACAUGAAUGGAUGCUGUAUUUUGUCAAAUACUUCUUCUAUAUCUAUUGAGAUAAUCAUAAGAUUCUUGUCUUUAUGUCUAUUGAUGUGAUAAAUUACAUUUAAUAAUUUCUGUAUGUCAAACCAACUUUGUAUCCCUGGGAUGAACCCCACUUGACCAUGGUUCUAUCUUUUAAAUAUGUUUUUGUAUGGAUUUGCCAGUAUUUUAUUAAGAAUUUUUGCAUUUAUAUUCAUCAGAGAUACUGGUCUGAAAUUUUCUGUCCUUGAUGUGUCUUUGUCUGGUUUUGGUAUCAGGGUGAUACUAGCUCCAUAGAAUGAGUUUGGAAGAGUUCUCUCCUUUUCUAGAUCAUGGAAUAAUUUGAGGAGGAUUGGUAUUAGUUCUUCUUUGAAGGUCUGGUAGAACUCAGCUGAGAAUCUAUAUGGUCCUGGGCUUUCUUGGUAGGCUUUUGAUGGUGUCUUCAAUGUCAUUGCUUGAAAUUAAUCUGUUUAAAUUUCACAGAGGCCUUUAAAGCCAUCUCAUGCAGCUUUUCAAAGGAUAAGGGGAAAAAGCAAAUUUCCUAGCCCCCUGAAAAAAAAGGAGGGAGCAGGAGAGAAGCUGAAGGAUCCUGGGGGACAAGGCAGCACCCCCUGGCCUGUAGUAUUCAGGCUGGAAGCUGAUCCUUACCACAAAGCUCUGGAACAGAAAUGACAAUGAUUCAGAACUCAGCCAAAAAGAAGUGCAAAGAUGAU